RNAcentral lists this ribosomal RNA (780 nucleotides) under uncultured Neocallimastigales. RNAcentral's name for it is "partial large subunit ribosomal RNA". It matches the Rfam family "Eukaryotic large subunit ribosomal RNA", at positions 23 to 616 of the family's 3401-position model. Lineage: Eukaryota; Fungi; Neocallimastigomycota; Neocallimastigomycetes; Neocallimastigales. The record is from RNAcentral.
ACACGCAUGACACACUGCAUAUCAAUAAGCGGAGGAAAAGAAACUAACAAGGAUUCCCCUAGUAACGGCGAGUGAAGCGGGAAGAGCUCAAAUUUGAAAUCUUAAAGGGUUUCCCCUUACGAAUUGUAGUUUAAAGAAGUGUUUUCUGUUGGAGUUUCGGUAAAAGUUCUUUGGAAUAGGACAUCAUAGAGGGUGAGAAUCCCGUAUUUGACCGUUACUUUCCAGCUGUGUGAUACACUUUCAAAGAGUCGGAUUGUUUGGGAAUGCAGUCCAAAAUGGGUGGUAAAUUUCAUCUAAAGCUAAAUAUUGGCGAGAGACCGAUAGCGAACAAGUACCGUGAGGGAAAGAUGAAAAGAACUUUGAAAAGAGAGUUAAACAGUACGUGAAAUUGUCAAAAGGGAAGCGUUUGACACCAGUGUUGUUUAGUUGAAAAUCAAUUCAAUAGUUUUUGAUUCUAAGUAGUAUUGACUUCAUCAGCUUGCUGCUUUCUUUUCAGGAAAUUAUUGAAUGCACUUUUCAGUUAACAAGUCAACAUCAAUUUCUUUUGUUGUAAAAGGGUAAUAGGAAGGUGGCUUACUCUUCGGCGUAAAGUGUUUAUAGCCUUUGAUCCUCUGCAAUCGGAGAGAUUGAGGUCAGCAGCGUAGACUCCUUCGGGGUUAGAUACACUUGUGCUAAGCUAUAGCCUUGUAUAGACAACUUGUUGACUAUGCUCAGUCAUGUAGGCUUACUCGCUAUUGCUAUUUUACCUACGCUUAGGAUGUUAAGCGCAUGUCUCUCUCU